Molecule: transfer RNA, 73 nt
Filed under: Stegodyphus mimosarum
Lineage: Eukaryota; Metazoa; Arthropoda; Arachnida; Araneae; Eresidae
Rfam family: tRNA
About the family: Transfer RNA (tRNA) molecules are approximately 80 nucleotides in length. Their secondary structure includes four short double-helical elements and three loops (D, anti-codon, and T loops).
Source: Rfam by way of RNAcentral
GUCUUCAUGGUGUAAUGGUUAGCACAUUCGGCGCGAGAUUCGAGAGGUUCAGGUUCGAGUCCCGGCGAGGGCA